UACGUCGGGUGCGAGCGUUAAUCGGAAUUACUGGGAGUAAAGCGUGCGCAGGCGGCUUUGCAAGACAGAUGUGAAAUCCCCGGGCUCAACCUGGGAACUGCAUUUGUGACUGCAAGGCUAGAGUACGGCAGAGGGGGAUGGAAUUCCGCGUGUAGCAGUGAAAUGCGUAGAUAUGCGGAGGAACACCAAUGGCGAAGGCAAUCCCCUGGGCCUGUACUGACGCUCAUGCACGAAAGCGUGGGGAGCAAACAGG
This 253-nucleotide ribosomal RNA is filed under the name uncultured bacterium. RNAcentral describes it as "partial 16S ribosomal RNA". It matches the Rfam family "Bacterial small subunit ribosomal RNA", at positions 524 to 776 of the family's 1533-position model. The record is from RNAcentral.